AUCCCUAAAACCUCAUACUGGGUGACCAAGAUGACGGUUGUUUCUGCUAAUCCAUCUUCUUUCUUUUCUCCAGUUUUUGCUGCAAAAGACAACAAAAAUGGGGAUGAAGGUGUACGAAAUUUCAGAGAUUAACCCUCAAAAAGCCCUAGUUCCAUCUCUCUGACACCAUGGUCACAUCCAAAAUCAAUCUCAAGGUGGUCGACAAAUUACAUCUGCAGCCGAUGCUUUCUGUGUUCCUGAGGUAUGACGCUUCUCUUCAAUGAGCCAUCAGAUGCUAGAAACCCGACAUAACAUGACGCUUGUAUGUUUUUAUUUAGUAUGUCUUGUAAUAUUCAAAUUUAAAAAACGUCUUCUAUGUGAACAAAUUAAGUACGUGUAAUAGUUUACUUUGGUUUUAAAGUGGAGCUGUUAUUGGGUGCUUCUGUUUUGCGGGCGACAACCUCAAGAAGAGGUGAACACAGGAAUAGCGAAGAUGACUCCUUAUCUAAAAUGAAGGAAGUUGAGGAGGCCUUGCUAAAAAUAAGGAAUUGAAGAGUACUAUUUACAAGUCCAGAUACACAAAGUUUUGAAGUCUUCAGACAAGCUGACAAAUUGGUUAUUACAUUAGCAGGACUACUGGACCAAACAUUACAUUUAGGAUGUGUAGUUUUUUUUCUCUCUGAAGGAUUAUGU
This is a long non-coding RNA of Lycium barbarum (goji berry), 672 nucleotides long. RefSeq lists it as uncharacterized. The record is from RefSeq and is a predicted model, not a curated record. The transcript has 4 exons. NCBI's taxonomy places the organism in Eukaryota, Viridiplantae, Streptophyta, Magnoliopsida, Solanales, Solanaceae.